RNAcentral lists this long non-coding RNA (3473 nucleotides) under Bemisia tabaci. RNAcentral describes it as "lncRNA ENSSSA1UGG006949". The record is from RNAcentral. Lineage: Eukaryota; Metazoa; Arthropoda; Insecta; Hemiptera; Aleyrodidae.
AAACUGGCAUCCAUGGCCGAUGUCCUCGAUCCUAAUUAAACUGAUACGACUCCACAUCAAAGCAAGCAGAUAACCCGUGGAUACCCCCGCCUGAUCCGGGGUCCUUGCAGGUACUCGGAAGUAAUGCGCAAAGAAUUACAGAGAAGCGCGCGCGGUGUAAUUAGUGAGUGCUUUUUGUGUUUAUGUUUCGUGUCACGUGUAGCAGCCAAGCGCGGUACAUCCGACAAAUAUCACAGUCUUACGAGUGCGCUUCAACACGCGGCAUAGUUAAACAUUUCGUCCGUUCCUGAUUAUUGUGUUCCAAAACUAAAAAAUUCCGGUCGUGAAAAUGAACUUCUAUCGUAGGCCUACGUUCUUCCUCGCUCUCUCUCUCAUCGUUGCGUUGAUCGCGACCGAGACAUCCGCAUCUCCAGCGCCUGAUGGUGUCAUCGACAAGAUUAAAGGCUUCUUCUCUCAUCCCAAGGAUACUGCAGAUCAAGCUGCGGACAGCGCCAAGGAAACUUAUGAUGACGCGAAAGACGGAGUCAAACAUGGGUGGGAUGUGACCAAGCAGAAAGUCGGAGAAGGGUGGGAUGCAACCAAGGAGAAAGUCGGAGAAGGGUGGGAUGCAACCAAAGAGAAAGUCGGAGAUGGGUGGGAUGCAACCAAGGAGAAAGUCGCAGACGGGUGGGAUGCGACUAAGGAUAAAGUCGGAGAAUGGGUGCAAAAGGGAAAGGACGCUUUGAAGCAUGACAAGUAAAAGGGUUUCGUGACAUGAAUAUAACUAGAGUACCUGUAUAGCGAGAGUAUGGACAGAUAUGAAACUUCGAAAAUCCAUCAGGCCUUCACCGAUGCUUCUACGAAAAAAGUUAGAGCCCAGAAACGCAGCCAACCUAUGAAUUUCAAUUAUCCAGAGCGAUUUACUAAUACUAUUGUUAAGAACCGUCGUUUAUUAAGCACGUGUUUGACUCACUUUUUGCAUAAAUGUACUCAAUUUCGCGGAAGAACGCUCAUUUCUGUACAUUCUUGGCCAUCUUGGUUAGAAUAGGAAUCUACAGACUGGCAGUAAAGUUUUGUGCGUUAGAAGUUGGUUAGAAGGGUGGCUGCACUUUUGGGCCCUAAGCCCUCCAUAAAGCGAUCUGUCCAUACUCUCGCUAUACAGGUACUCUAAAUAAGUAUAACACUCAGUCAAUCGCUUUUUUACACUGUUACAAAUAACAUCCUACUCUUGCAAAACGUGAUCAAGUCAACUCCUACUUAACUAUCGAGUUAAAUUUGCCUAUAUUUCGAUUUAUUUGACUCUCGCUGACUCUUCAUUUCUUUCAAUUUUAACUUAUAAUCAUGUAUUUUUUAACUUGAUUAACUUUUAACCCCUCAGGGGUUGUGGGAGGACCAGGUGCUGUAGCGUUAGGCGUCGCACAGCGCCAGAGAACGCUGUAAAAGCGACUAUUAUGUAACUUAAUUGCUUAAAGAGGCCUCCGAGUUGGUCUCAAUUUGACUCGACUCAUAAUCAACAUGGGAACAUAUUCUUUUGAAUACUGUAAUCUUGAACUUACCGUUCAGUAAUCCGAUUUUGGUUAUCUAUCUAACCCUACACUCAGGAAAAAUGUUUACGUACUAUGUCGUUGAAUGGAAAGGAGCCUCCAAUGAAUAAUCCCACCAAAGGUAUUACGCUGUUUCAAGAGUAAUAUCAUCUGUUUAAAGUAAAACGAUAUCCAGCUGAUUUUGGACUACAUUUUGCAAUCAGGAACUAUAAAUUCCAGCCCGGUUUAAAAACAACGUAUGUGCCUUUAGUGUCCCUAUACACAUAAGUGUUUUUACAUAUGAGCCAGAAAUUAUAGUUCCAAAUUGAAAAAUGUAGUCUAAUUUGUCUUCGAGAAGUAUUAAAAGUCAUCUUGAUCUUUUUAUUUUCUCAGCGUCUCAACGAAACAUUUGUAUCAGAGAACAUCUAGUCGAGUCAACUUCCCAGUGGAAAAUAAAGUGGACUGCAUUUUGCAAUUUGGAACUAUAAAUUCUGGUUCUUCUGGAAAAAACACUUAUGUGCAUAGGGAAACUAAUGCCACAUACGUCGUUUUUAAACCGGGCUAGAAUGUAUAGUUCCAAAUUGCGAAAUGUAGUCCAAUUCAUCUAUGUGUUGAGAAUCAUUUUUGCGAUUCUCUGAAUUUGCUCAGGUUUUGUUUUAUUUGAUUGUACAUUGUACCGUUUAAUUAUUUAUUUAUUUAUUCAAUGAAGUAAAGAAAAUUUUUGUUCUUAACACUAUUGUUUAAGUCUUGCGUGUUUUCCUUACCCUUAAAAAAACAAAAAAGGCUAUUUCAUUUAAAUUAUGGAAUCAAUUUUUCAACUUGAUACCUAGUUGAACGGGUAAAUUUACUAAUUGUUUCAUUCAAUAUUUCAGCCUUUACUUGUUGCCGAUGACAAUUUCGAUUUAAGCAAUUCCGUUUAUUUUCUGUGUUUUUUACUUGAAACUUAUUCUCAAGAUCCACAAGUGGGAUCUGUUUUUAAAACAAUGGACCAACUCCAUUUGACAAACAAGGUUCACGCACGGACAGCUAAUGGUUUUUUUUUUUUUUUUUUUUUUUUUUAUUAUAUCCAGUACAGAAAGCUAAUGGUGUCUUCAGUUAAGGCGGUAAAUUACUUUUUAGGGAUGCAAAAUACGAACUCACAGAAGGGUGACACUCGCUCUUCAGGAGUUAACAUAGUAAUUUAUGAAAAUCGAUGUAAAACCGAUUUGAUAGUUGGCUGAUCGGUUGAGAGACCUUGAAUUUGAAGACAUUAUUUUUGUCCAAAUUAUUCUGCGCUACAUCUGAUGACCAUUAAACUUACGAACGAGCCAACCUCUGAUUUUUCUAUUACUAUUUCUUCACUGCAAAUUUUCGUCCAAUUUAAGUUCAGUGCUCCGUGGGGGUCAAGUAAACAGCCACUUUGUUUUUCAAAAAACGUCUUCUCGACUCAUGACAAGAGUUCGUUCGAUGCCAAUCGGGGGAUAUCACAAGAAGGUUGACACACCUCAACCAUGAUACAAAAGCCGGCAUUUAUGAGUUUCUCACAGCAUCUGCGUGCGAUCUAAUUUCUCGUCUGCCCAAAAUAUAACAGAGCAUGAGAAGCUUAAAAGAAACAUGUGUAUUCUUCACUGAAGAACUUCACCCGAAUUGCAUUCUUGGCAACAGAGGAGUCAGAAUUUUGGAACAUGAUUUUUUUUUAGAACUGACAGAGAUGCGCACAUUACCAGUUAACGGAUUUCACAAAAAAAUUAAGACGAAUGGUAAAAAUGUGUGCAUUGACAAUGAGACGGCAAACGUGCAAUGAAGCGAUUCGGUUCCUCAAAAUUCAUGUUGUAAAGUUUGCAGACUUUUGCUACAGCAAAAUUAAGAGCUGUGACUUAUGGAAAAUGUCUCAAAAAUCACGACGAGCACAUUGGCAAAGUGUGAAGUGCACUCCAAACUUCACAACCUGCGUAAGAAAUUUGCGUUUUCUUAGCAUCCGCUUCAAAACGA